Molecule: ribosomal RNA, 468 nt
Filed under: uncultured bacterium
Lineage: Bacteria
Description: partial 16S ribosomal RNA
Rfam family: Bacterial small subunit ribosomal RNA
Source: RNAcentral
GACGAACGCUGGCGGCGUGCUUAACACAUGCAAGUCGAACGGAAAGGCCCUGCUCUUGUGGGGUGCUCGAGUGGCGAACGGGUGAGUAACACGUGAGUAACCUGCACUUGACUUUGGGGUAACAUCUGGAAACUGGGGCGAAUACACGAUAGGAUCUCCUGCUGCAUGUUGGUGGUUGGAGAGAUACGGUGGUUGGGGAUGGACUAGAUGCUUAUCCGCUUGUUUGUGGGGUAGUGGCGUACAAAGGCUUUGACGGGUAGCCGGCCUGAGAGGGUGACCGGCCACAUUGGGACUGAGGUACGGCCCAGACUCCAACGGGAGGCAGCAGUGGGGAAUAUUGCACAAUGGGCGGAAGCCUGAUGCAGCAACGUCGCGUGCGGGAUGACGGCCUUCGGGUUGUAAACCGCUUUCGCCUGUGACGAAGCGUGAGUGACGGUAAUGAGUAAAGAAGCACCGGCUAACUACGUG